GCUGGGUGUGAUGGCUCACGCCUGUAAUCCUAGCACUUUGGGAGGCUGAGGUGGGUGGAUCACCUGAGGUCAGGAGUUUGAGACCAACCUGGCCAACAUGGUGAAACCUCACUUCUA
Pongo abelii (Sumatran orangutan) is the source of this 117-nucleotide unclassified non-coding RNA. It matches the Rfam family "Metazoan signal recognition particle RNA". From Rfam's summary of the family: The signal recognition particle (SRP) is a universally conserved ribonucleoprotein. It is involved in the co-translational targeting of proteins to membranes. The record is from Ensembl. NCBI's taxonomy places the organism in Eukaryota, Metazoa, Chordata, Mammalia, Primates, Hominidae.